Molecule: ribosomal RNA, 253 nt
Filed under: uncultured bacterium
Lineage: Bacteria
Description: partial 16S ribosomal RNA
Rfam family: Bacterial small subunit ribosomal RNA
Source: RNAcentral
UACGUAGGGGGCUAGCGUUGUCCGGAAUCAUCGGGCGUAAAGCGCGUGUAGGCGGUCCGGUAAGUCCGCUGUGAAAGUCGGGGGCUCAACCCUCGGAUGCCGGUGGAUACUGUCGGGCUUGAGUACGGAAGAGGCGAGUGGAAUUCCUGGUGUAGCGGUGAAAUGCGCAGAUAUCAGGAGGAACACCAAUUGCGAAGGCAGCUCGCUGGGACGUAACUGACGCUGAGACGCGAAAGCGUGGGGAUCAAACAGG